Molecule: ribosomal RNA, 446 nt
Filed under: uncultured bacterium
Lineage: Bacteria
Description: partial 16S ribosomal RNA
Rfam family: Bacterial small subunit ribosomal RNA
Source: RNAcentral
AGCGAACGCUGGCGGCAGGCCUAACACAUGCAAGUCGAGCGCCCAGCAAUGGGAGCGGCAGACGGGUGAGUAACGCGUGGGGAUGUGCCCAAUGGUGCGGAAUAACCCAGGGAAACUUGGAUUAAUACCGCAUGUGCCCUUCGGGGGAAAGAUUUAUCGCCAUUGGAUCAACCCGCGUCUGAUUAGCUAGUUGGGGAGGUAAAGGCUCACCAAGGCGACGAUCAGUAGCUGGUCUGAGAGGAUGAUCAGCCACACUGGGACUGAGACACGGCCCAGACUCCUACGGGAGGCAGCAGUGGGGAAUAUUGGACAUGGGCGCAAGCCUGAUCCAGCCAGGCCGCGUGAGUGAUGAAGGCCUUAGGGUUGUAAAGCUCUUUCGCCGGUGAAGAUAAUGACGGUAACCGGAGAAGAAGCCCCGGCUAACUUCGUGCCAGCCGCCGCCGUAA